Carassius gibelio (silver crucian carp) is the source of this 683-nucleotide long non-coding RNA. RefSeq lists it as uncharacterized. The transcript is spliced from 3 exons. NCBI's taxonomy places the organism in Eukaryota, Metazoa, Chordata, Actinopteri, Cypriniformes, Cyprinidae. The record is from RefSeq and is a predicted model, not a curated record.
CACAGGCCGGAGCGGACCACCAAUUCAACGGGUCUCGCUCCUCCCUCUAACUUCCACCUCGAGGAGGUCCCACAACACCCCAAUGAAUGGACGGACAACCAAGAUUAAAAUGUAACAAUUUUAUUUGUUUAAAAGUUUGGGGAAAGGGGUAAGGAAACUUUAAAACUAAUGAUGACUCGAACUAUUCUUUAUCCACAAAUACGGAUUCCAGUCUCAAGAACACUCCUCUUCAGCCCUUCCUCGACAACACUCCACUUCAGCCCUUAAUUUCCCGCCGACUCCACUCCAGGUAAGUUUAAAGCAAGAGCUAGGCAGUUGACGUGCAGGGGUUCUAGCUCUCAGGUAAAUACAGUGUUCGAUACACAGGUGGGUAUUCACAGGGCUGGGCUGUUAGCGUGCAGGGGUUCUAGCUCUCAGGUAAGUACAGUGUUCGAUACACAGGUAAGUAUUCACAGGGCUGGGCUGUUAGCGUGCAGGGGUUCUAGCUCUCAGGUAAGUACAGUGUUCGAUACACAGGUAAGUAUUCACAGGGCUGAGCUGUUAGCGUGCAGGGGUUCUAGCUCUCAAUGUAAGUACAGGGUUCAAUACACAGGUGAGUAUUCACGGGGCUGGGCUGUUAAUGCGCUACUCACCACUGAAGAUAUUCAGAGGUCUGUAUUCCAAGCAGAUACGGGUUUAGUCGA